RNAcentral lists this ribosomal RNA (492 nucleotides) under uncultured bacterium. Its description in RNAcentral is "partial 16S ribosomal RNA". It matches the Rfam family "Bacterial small subunit ribosomal RNA", at positions 29 to 507 of the family's 1533-position model. The record is from RNAcentral.
AGUGAACGCUGGCGGUAGGCCUAACACAUGCAAGUCGAACGGCAGCACAGUAAGAGCUUGCUCUUACGGGUGGCGAGUGGCGGACGGGUGAGGAAUACAUCGGAAUCUACUUUUUCGUGGGGGAUAACGUAGGGAAACUUACGCUAAUACCGCAUACGACCUACGGGUGAAAGCAGGGGAUCUUCGGACCUUGCGCGAUUGAAUGAGCCGAUGUCGGAUUAGCUAGUUGGCGGGGUAAAGGCCCACCAAGGCGACGAUCCGUAGCCGGUCUGAGAGGAUGAUCAGCCACACUGGAACUGAGACACGGUCCAGACUCCUACGGGAGGCAGCAGUGGGGAAUAUUGGACAAUGGGCGCAAGCCUGCUCCAGCCAUACCGCGUGGGUGAAGAAGGCCUUCGGGUUGUAAAGCCCUUUUGUUGGGAAAGAAAAGCAGCAGGUUAAUACCCCGCUGUUCUGACGGUACCCAAAGAAUAAGCACCGGCUAACUUCGUG